Molecule: long non-coding RNA, 827 nt
Organism: Frankliniella occidentalis (western flower thrips)
Lineage: Eukaryota; Metazoa; Arthropoda; Insecta; Thysanoptera; Thripidae
Exons: 4
Source: RefSeq, a predicted model, not a curated record
CCGGCGCCGGCCCACUGGCCGGGCCUCCCGGGCCGACUCAACGAAAUGCAAGUCCGUCAAGUUCAGUGUCAAGUGCAAAAUGGUCCAAUAAGUGAAAGUGUUGCAAAGCAAAGCGUGCAUGUUUGUUUAGCCUAAGUGUAGUGCAGUGUAGUUUAUCCUAAGUAUAGUGCAGUGUAGUGAAGUAGUAGUAGUGCUCAAGUGUAAGCUUUCAGCCUGCCGCCUAUAUAGGCAGACCAGCCUAAGAUCGCGAUUUUCCUCACCCCCUCUCGCCCGCAAACUCCUAUACCGCCUGUACUAGCCCAGUCGCGACCUUAGGCUGGUCUCAGUAUAGUGCUGUGUAGUGAAGUGUCAAGUGUCAAGUGCUCAAGUCUCAAGCUCUGCGUGGGUGUGGGUGGCACCCGCGCCCCGCUGUCUCCGCUGGACUCUGCGCUCCGUUAGUCUGGCUGGCUGGCGAUCGACUCACGAAUAGCCAGCUUAUUUGUCCUUCUUGUCUUUCCACGUAGAAGCAUGCAGGGAUUACGAGGGGUUGCUGGUACAUAUCGAGACUUAUGGAGGGCACGUAGACCUGAGCCCCACUGGCGAGAACACAAUCGAGCGGUCAGCGACGCUGAGCCGCGCUCAGUGAGCUCAGUGAAAAAUCCUGGAGGGCCUGAUAUUCAAACAGAAGGUAGUUUUUUUUUUUUUUUUUAAGGCAGCUCUAUUCGGCCAAAUUCAUCACGGCGAGCGUGGCCGGCAACAAGUUGCUCAACCUCAACGAUUAUUUGUGUAAAUUUUCAAGCAACUACAAAAAGAUAUUCGAUGCCAACCAAAUACUGAGGAGAGAGAAG